ACGAACGCUGGCGGCGUGCUUCACACAUGCAAGUCGCACGGUGAAGCUCCAGCUUGCUGGAGUGGAUCAGUGGCGAACGGGUGAGUAACACGUGAGCAACCUGCCCCUGACUCUGGAAUAAGCGCUGGAAACGGCGUCUAAUACUGGAUACGAGAAGGGUCCGCAUGGGCACUUUCUGGAAAGUUUUUCGGUUGGGGAUGGGCUCGCGGCCUAUCAGCUUGUUGGUGAGGUAAUGGCUCACCAAGGCGACGACGGGUAGCCGGCCUGAGAGGGCGACCGGCCACACUGGGACUGAGACACGGCCCAGACUCCUACGGGAGGCAGCAGUGGGGAAUAUUGCACAAUGGGCGAAAGCCUGAUGCAGCGACGCCGCGUGAGGGAUGACGGCCUUCGGGUUGUAAACCUCUUUCAGCAGGGAAGAAGCGAAAGUGACGGUACCUGCAGAAGAAGCACCGGCUAACUACGUG
RNAcentral lists this ribosomal RNA (467 nucleotides) under uncultured bacterium. RNAcentral describes it as "partial 16S ribosomal RNA". It matches the Rfam family "Bacterial small subunit ribosomal RNA", at positions 29 to 507 of the family's 1533-position model. The record is from RNAcentral.